CAGUUCUCACUUAUAACUAAUCAUGCUCCAUCCUCCAUGUCCCUGACCUGAAACCCCAUCUCCUAUCAAUCCCUAAUUAUGAAACUCUCUCGUCCUCAUAGACCAUUUCUGAAACCCAUCACCAUAUUCCACGCCAAACCCAAAUACUUUUGCGACUUCAGAUCCUCCGUAGUUCAAGAUAAUGACGACAAAUACCAAGACUCGCAAUUUAUAGCCAUCCUCUCAGGCAUUUUACGUGGAAAGCAAAGCUGGACAAUUGCAUUGAACGAGCCAUUCAUUUCAAGCAAGUUAAGGCCUCACCAUAUUGAGAAGCUCCUAAUGCGGUCCCUCGAUGAUUCCAGGUUAGCUUUGAGGUUCUUUAACUUCCUGGGCUUGCACAAGAACUUUAGCCACUCAACCAUGUCGUUUUGUAUUCUAAUUCAUGCACUGGUUAAUGCUAAUUUAUACUGGCCUGCUUCUUCAGUAUUGCAAACAUUGCUUUUUCGUGGGUUGGAUCCAAGUGAGGUUUUUGAUGCUCUUUUGGAUUCUUUCAAGGAAUGUGGAUUUAAUUCUAGUUUGGGUUUUGACUUGUUGAUUCAUAUUUAUGUGCAGAAUAAGAGAGUUUUUGAUGGUGUUAUGAUAUUCAGGUUAAUGAAGAACUGUAAUUUGAUGCCUCAAGUUAGGACUUUGAGUGCCCUGUUAAAUGGUUUUUUAAGGAUUAGACGAUUUGAUACAGUUUUAAUGUUGUUUGAUGAGAUUGCGAGCGUGAAUAUUAAGCCUGAUAUUUAUAUCCAUACAGCUGUAAUUCGAAGCUUGUGUGAGUUGAAGGAUUUUGUAAAGGCAAAGAAAAUGGUUCAAUGGAUGGAGUCCAGUGAUUGUGAAUUGAGUGUAGUGUUGUAUAAUGUGUUAAUUCAUGGGCUUUGCAAGAGCCAGAGAGUUUGGGAGGCUGUUGAGAUUAAGAAUGGUUUGGUUCAAAAAGGUCUAAAAGCAGAUGUGGUUACUUAUUGUACUAUUGUACUUGGGCUCUGCAAAGUACAGGAGUUUGAAUUUGGCGUGGAGAUAUUGAAUGAAAUGAUUGAAUUGGGAUUUGUACCAAGUGAGGCAGCUGUUUCAGGUUUGGUUGAAGGGAUGAGGAGGAAGGGGCAGAUUGGAGUUGCUUUUCAUUUGGUAAACAAGGUUGGAAGAGUUGGAGCGAUGCCUAAUUUGUUUGUAUACAAUGCAUUGAUCAAUUCUUUAUGUAAAGAUGGAAAAUUUGAUGAAGCAGAGCUGCUAUUCAAGGAAAUGGGACAGAAGGGUUUAUGUGCCAAUGAUAUCACUUAUUCUAUUCUUAUUGAUUCAUUUUGUAGAAGGGGAAAACUGGAUAUUGCAAUUCAUUUACUUGGAAGAAUGACUGAGGAAGGGAUAAAAGUUACAGUCUAUCCGUACAAUUCCCUGAUAAAUGGUCACUGCAAGUUGGGAAAUUUGAGUGCAGCAAAUUCUUUUUUUGAUGCAAUGCUUGAUAAAUGUUUGGCACCAACUGUGGUAACCUACACAUCACUAAUAGAUGGAUACUGCAAUGAAGGAGACUUGGACAAGGCAUUUGGGUUGUACGAUGAGAUGACUGGUAAGGGCAUUGCACCAAAUGUGUAUACCUUUACUGCAAUAAUAUCUGGCCUUUGUCAAGCAAAUAUGAUGAUUGAGGCAAUUAGAUGGUUUGAUGAAAUGAGAGAACAGAACGUCAUGCCAAAUGAGGUUACUUAUAAUGUUAUGAUUGAAGGACAUUGCAGGCAAGGAAACACGGUAAAAGCCUUUGAAUUACUUGAUGAAAUGGUAGAGAAGGGCCUUGUUCCAGACACAUAUACCUUUAGGCCUAUAAUAAGUGGCCUAUGUUCUAUUGGAAGAGUAUCUGAAGCCAAAGAGUUCAUUGAUGAUCUUCACAAAGGGCAUCAUAAGUUAAAUGAGAUCUGUUAUGGUGCCCUUCUGCAUGGUUAUUGCAAGGAAGGAAGAUUCUGGGAUGCGUUAAGUGCUUCUCGUGAGAUGAUGGAGAGAGGAAUGAACAUGGAUCUUGUGUGUUACGCUAUACUUAUAGAUGGAACUAUAAGAGAACAUGAUAUUAGGACAUUAUUUGGUCUUUUGAAAGAGAUGCAUGAUCAAGGAUUAAGACCUGAUAACGUAAUAUAUACAAACAUGAUUGACAGGCAUAGCAAGGCAGGGAAUUUGAAGGAGGCAUUUGGCCUUUGGGAUAUAAUGAUUGAUGAAGGAUGCAUUCCAAAUAUUGUAACGUACACUGCUCUGAUAAAUGGUUUGUGUAAGGCAGGAUUCAUGGAUAAGGCUGAGCUUCUUUCUAAGGAAAUAUUGAUUGGAAAUAUCACUCCAAAUCAAAUCACAUUUGGUUGUUUCCUUAACUGCCUUACCAAGAAAGGGAACAUGGAGAAAGCUGUGGAGCUUCAUAAUGCAUUGCUUAAAGGUUUUCUAGCAAACACUGUUUCAUAUAAUAUAAUUAUCCGGGGCUUUUGCAAAUUGGGUAUGAUUCAGGAAGCAACAAAGAUUUUGAAUGAAAUGACAGACAAUGGUAUUUUCCCAGAUCACAUUACUUAUUCAACAAUUAUCUAUGAGCAUUGUAAAAGGGGUAAUGUGCAGGAAGCUGUCAAAUUGUGGCACACUAUGCUUGACAAGGGUCUCAAACCUGAUGCAGUAGCAUACAAUUUUAUGAUAUAUGGUUGCUGCAUAGCAGGAGAACUAAGAAAAGCUUUUGAAUUUAAGGAUGACAUGAUAAGAAGAGGAAUGAAGCUAAAUCGGGUCACAUAUAAUGCUCUCACUCAUAGAACUGACUUGAACUUUAUCUGAUGAUAGGUAGUUAUGCUUGUAAAUAUUUGUUCCAUAGGUGUUAAAUGGGAAAAUAACAGAGUUCUCACGGCCUUGAGUUGGUUGAUAGUCUUCUUGGCCAUAAAAAUGACAGUUCAGGUUGGUGAGAUCAUCCUGGGUUCUGGCUAUGAUAAUCUACAUUGGCAGGCACUCAAAAAUUCACUGGAAACCAUGUUGAAGGAGCUGGUUAAAUGGGGUGGUAGUUAUGAAAUUUAAAUGUUUAAAAUAGGCAUUCUGUAACCUGUUAGACAUUUUCACACUAGCUGGAGUUAUAGGUUUACAGAAAGUGUGGGAGGUGUGCCAUGCCAACUGUGAUGAUGGGAUCCACGGCAACCUUAUAAUUUGUGAUGAGUGAUGGAAGUUCUUAGUGGUCACAAGCAAGGGAUCAUUGUAUGUAUGGGAUCUAAUCAACUGGAGCUGUCACCUUCAGGACUUAUUUACAUCUCUAAUUGCUUCAGAUCAAACUCUUCCACAAAGGGUUAGAUAUCUGGUGAAAUCUGAACAACUAAAGUUAUAUCUGCAAAGUCAUCAAAAUCUGGUUCUCUUGCUGUUGGUUUGGCUACACAUCAUGUCUUCCUGUUUGAAAUGAAUCUUGUGUGUUGGCUAAAGGUGGUAGAUGGUUGGUUCCUUCCAUAAAUUUUUUGCUGGCCCCUGGAAUUUGGGUGUGAUUCAGAGUUUUGAGCUGGCUGCAUUGCAGAUGUAUGUUAGGAUCAUUUGGCCAGAAAGCCAGGUUGGAUCAUUUGUCCAAUCAUUGGUUGAAAAAUUUUGCUGAAUUUUUGAAAAAUACUAGAUUGUGUUAUAUUGAGCAUGCUAAAUAGAAUAGUAACUUAGUAGCCUUGCUAAACUUAUCUUGUACUGCUACUUAGCAGGGGCUGUGGAAUUUAUCUCAUGAAAACUAAUGACAACCAAUUUAUUUGUUUCUCGGUCCUGUUUAUGUGAUUUUGCAUGUGAUUCUUUGCUUCAUGACGUCUCUGUUUCUGGUUAAAGCUUUCAAGUUCAUGUUUAUGGUUAAAAUAACUUGCUCCUUAAGUUUGAACCGUUACAAUGUGUUUUUACAGGAGGACAAAUGAUGUAGUGCAGACAUGCACUCAUUUGGAGGCUCAGUCUUUGGCUUGAAAGUCCCCAAAUGAAUAUUGCCAGUGCCUGGUGUCUUACAUGCGCUUCUUUGACAGGGAGGCAGACAAGUCUGGUUUGCGAGAGUUCUGUGAAAGCUUUCUUGGAUUGCCUGCUGGGAUGGCUGAAUCCACAUCUGCGGAUACAAAGAAUUUGGCUUGGCAACCUUGUGUGCUUGUAAAGAUUCCUUCACAUAUUUUACAAAUGCGUGAUCCCAUAUUCAAUGAUUGUGGUUCUACAAUAUUUAUAUUAUUAGUGAUGUUUCUAGCUUGUGAUCCCAGGAAUACUGUUUCAAGUAGCUUCACAAUCAUAAUUAAUUCUUCUAUUUUUCUCAAUUUUUAGUUAAGAUUAUUUUAGGCAAAAUGCAUUGGCUAAACAUCGUCUGAUUUCUCCCGUCUCACAUUUUGCAGGGAAUGAGAAAGCAAAAACUCUUGAGAGAAGAUAUUGUUCCAGCAAUGGCGUCAAUAUAAAAGGUCCAGCAUUUACUCAACUUGUUCAUGGGUCUCCUGUCUGAAUAUCAAAGUGAUGCAACCAAGCUUCACCAGAAACUAAUCGACCAGCCAGAAACUGAUCAAAUGGACCUUGAUCCCCCAGCAACCGAACCAGCUACAGCUCAAACAAACUCUGCCCAACCAGCAAAAGAUGAUAAAGGCAACUUGGCUACGCUAAGAACUGAUCAAGUAGAUUCGUGUCCGAUAUUGGCAGAUCAAUCUAGCUAUAGAAGCUGGUCCUUGAAAGAUUUCAUAUGCUUAAUUGAGAAAUGGAGAUAUCACGAUAAAUUAAUGAAACUCUCUAUUAUAUGCAUUUAAACGAAUAUUGGGUUAUUUAAAAUUUUUUCCCCUGAAUGGAGAUAUCACGAUAAAUUAAUGAAACUCUCUAUUAUAUGCAUUUAAACGAAUAUUGGGUUAUUUAAAAUUUUUUCCCCUGAAUGGAUGUUCUGCACAAUAAAAAUGGAUAGAUUGGAA
RNAcentral lists this unclassified non-coding RNA (4901 nucleotides) under Hevea brasiliensis (rubber tree). Lineage: Eukaryota; Viridiplantae; Streptophyta; Magnoliopsida; Malpighiales; Euphorbiaceae. The record is from RNAcentral.